This 71-nucleotide transfer RNA is filed under the name Nothobranchius kafuensis (Kafue killifish). Its description in RNAcentral is "tRNA-Met". The record is from RNAcentral. Lineage: Eukaryota; Metazoa; Chordata; Actinopteri; Cyprinodontiformes; Nothobranchiidae.
AGUAAGGUCAGCUAACACUAAGCUUUUGGGCCCAUACCCCGGACAUGUCGGUUAAAAUCCUUCCUUUACUA